Molecule: long non-coding RNA, 243 nt
Organism: Bombyx mori (domestic silkworm)
Lineage: Eukaryota; Metazoa; Arthropoda; Insecta; Lepidoptera; Bombycidae
Exons: 3
Source: RefSeq, a predicted model, not a curated record
UUUCUUUUGAUACUUAAAUGCUUCUUGAGCCUAGUAAUUAUUUAUUUGAAUGGAAAUUAGUUGAUAUUUAUAGACAAAUUCGAAGAGUUGAUUUGGCGAAUUUGAAAUGAUUAAGAAAACUGUUUGCCACUGUUAACUUAAAGCCCGAGCGCCUCCGAAGGACACCUAACACCUCAAGGGCAGCUGCUUUGCGAAUGUAUCCACUACCGGAACGCAAUCGCGACCCGCUGAGAAGAUCCGGCG